This 497-nucleotide ribosomal RNA is filed under the name uncultured bacterium. RNAcentral's name for it is "partial 16S ribosomal RNA". It matches the Rfam family "Bacterial small subunit ribosomal RNA", at positions 28 to 507 of the family's 1533-position model. The record is from RNAcentral.
GAUGAACGCUGGCGGCGUGCCUAAUACAUGCAAGUCGAGCGAACAGACGAGGAGCUUGCUCCUCUGACGUUAGCGGCGGACGGGUGAGUAACACGUGGAUAACCUACCUAUAAGACUGGGAUAACUUCGGGAAACCGGAGCUAAUACCGGAUAAUAUAUUGAACCGCAUGGUUCAAUAGUGAAAGACGGUUUUGCUGUCACUUAUAGAUGGACCCGCGCCGCAUUAGCUAGUUGGUAAGGUAACGGCUUACCAAGGCGACGAUGCGUAGCCGACCUGAGAGGGUGAUCGGCCACACUGGAACUGAGACACGGUCCAGACUCCUACGGGAGGCAGCAGUAGGGAAUCUUCCGCAAUGGGCGAAAGCCUGACGGAGCAACGCCGCGUGAGUGAUGAAGGUCUUCGGAUCGUAAAACUCUGUUAUUAGGGAAGAACAAAUGUGUAAGUAACUAUGCACGUCUUGACGGUACCUAAUCAGAAAGCCACGGCUAACUACGUG